GUGCUUGCUUCAGCAGCAUAUGUACUAAAAUUGGAACCAUACCGAGAAGAUUAGCAUGGCCCCUGUGCAAGAAUUAAAAAUUAAGCUAAAGAAGCAAGGGAUUGGGUC
Molecule: small nuclear RNA, 108 nt
Filed under: Microcebus murinus (gray mouse lemur)
Lineage: Eukaryota; Metazoa; Chordata; Mammalia; Primates; Cheirogaleidae
Source: RNAcentral